Molecule: ribosomal RNA, 1227 nt
Filed under: Klebsiella quasipneumoniae
Lineage: Bacteria; Pseudomonadati; Pseudomonadota; Gammaproteobacteria; Enterobacterales; Enterobacteriaceae
Description: partial 23S ribosomal RNA
Rfam family: Bacterial large subunit ribosomal RNA
Source: RNAcentral
GGUUAAGCGACUAAGCGUACACGGUGGAUGCCCUGGCAGUCAGAGGCGAUGAAGGACGUGCUAAUCUGCGAAAAGCGUCGGUAAGGUGAUAUGAACCGUUAUAACCGGCGAUGUCCGAAUGGGGAAACCCAGUGCAAUUCGUUGCACUAUCGUUAACUGAAUACAUAGGUUAACGAGGCGAACCGGGGGAACUGAAACAUCUAAGUACCCCGAGGAAAAGAAAUCAACCGAGAUUCCCCCAGUAGCGGCGAGCGAACGGGGAGCAGCCCAGAGUCUGAAUCAGCUUGUGUGUUAGUGGAACGGUCUGGAAAGUCCGACGGUACAGGGUGAUAGUCCCGUACACCAAAAUGCACAGGUUGUGAACUCGAAGAGUAGGGCGGGACACGUGGUAUCCUGUCUGAAUAUGGGGGGACCAUCCUCCAAGGCUAAAUACUCCUGACUGACCGAUAGUGAACCAGUACCGUGAGGGAAAGGCGAAAAGAACCCCGGCGAGGGGAGUGAAAAAGAACCUGAAACCGUGUACGUACAAGCAGUGGGAGCACCUUUAUGGUGUGACUGCGUACCUUUUGUAUAAUGGGUCAGCGACUUAUAUUCUGUAGCAAGGUUAACCGUAUAGGGGAGCCGCAGGGAAACCGAGUCUUAACUGGGCGUUAAGUUGCAGGGUAUAGACCCGAAACCCGGUGAUCUAGCCAUGGGCAGGUUGAAGGUUGGGUAACACUAACUGGAGGACCGAACCGACUAAUGUUGAAAAAUUAGCGGAUGACUUGUGGCUGGGGGUGAAAGGCCAAUCAAACCGGGAGAUAGCUGGUUCUCCCCGAAAGCUAUUUAGGUAGCGCCUCGUGAACUCAUCUUCGGGGGUAGAGCACUGUUUCGGCUAGGGGGUCAUCCCGACUUACCAACCCGAUGCAAACUACGAAUACCGAAGAAUGUUAUCACGGGAGACACACGGCGGGUGCUAACGUCCGUCGUGAAGAGGGAAACAACCCAGACCGCCAGCUAAGGUCCCAAAGUCAUGGUUAAGUGGGAAACGAUGUGGGAAGGCACAGACAGCCAGGAUGUUGGCUUAGAAGCAGCCAUCAUUUAAAGAAAGCGUAAUAGCUCACUGGUCGAGUCGGCCUGCGCGGAAGAUGUAACGGGGCUAAACCAUGCACCGAAGCUGCGGCAGCGACACUAUGUGUUGUUGGGUAGGGGAGCGUUCUGUAAGCCUGCGAAGGUGGCCUGUGAGGG